Molecule: ribosomal RNA, 404 nt
Filed under: Staphylococcus aureus
Lineage: Bacteria; Bacillati; Bacillota; Bacilli; Caryophanales; Staphylococcaceae
Description: partial 23S ribosomal RNA
Rfam family: Bacterial large subunit ribosomal RNA
Source: RNAcentral
CGCAAACCGACACAGGUAGUCAAGAUGAGAAUUCUAAGGUGAGCGAGCGAACUCUCGUUAAGGAACUCGGCAAAAUGACCCCGUAACUUCGGGAGAAGGGGUGCUCUUUAGGGUUAACGCCCAGAAGAGCCGCAGUGAAUAGGCCCAAGCGACUGUUUAUCAAAAACACAGGUCUCUGCUAAACCGUAAGGUGAUGUAUAGGGGCUGACGCCUGCCCGGUGCUGGAAGGUUAAGAGGAGUGGUUAGCUUCUGCGAAGCUACGAAUCGAAGCCCCAGUAAACGGCGGCCGUAACUAUAACGGUCCUAAGGUAGCGAAAUUCCUUGUCGGGUAAGUUCCGACCCGCACGAAAGGCGUAACGAUUUGGGCACUGUCUCAACGAGAGACUCGGUGAAAUCAUAGUACC